Molecule: ribosomal RNA, 398 nt
Filed under: uncultured bacterium
Lineage: Bacteria
Description: partial 16S ribosomal RNA
Rfam family: Bacterial small subunit ribosomal RNA
Source: RNAcentral
CCUACGGGAGGCAGCAGUGAGGAAUAUUGGUCAAUGGGCGCGAGCCUGAACCAGCCAAGUCGCGUGAGGGAAGACGGCCCUAUGGAUUUUAAACCUCUUUUGUCGGGGAGCAAAAGACGCCACGCGUGGCGUUCCGAGUGUACCCGAAGAAAAAGCAUCGGCUAACUCCGUGCCAGCAGCCGCGGUAAUACGGGGGAUGCGAGCGUUAUCCGGAUUUGUGGGGUUUAAAGGGAGCGCAGGCGGAAGAUUAAGUCAGCGGUAAAAUUGAGAGGCUCAACCUCAUCGAGCCGUUGAAACUGGUUAUCUUGAGUGAGUGAGAGGUAUGCGGAAUGCGUGGUGUAGCGGUGAAAUGCAUAGAUAUCACGAAGAACUCCGAUUGCGAAGGCAGCAUACCGGAG